GACGAACGCUGGCGGCGUGCUUAACACAUGCAAGUCGAACGGAAAGGCCCUGCUUGCAGGGUACUCGAGUGGCGAACGGGUGAGUAACACGUGGGUGAUCUGCCCUGCACUUCGGGAUAAGCCUGGGAAACUGGGUCUAAUACCGGAUAGGAGCCAUUUUUAGUGUGAUGGUUGGAAAGUUUUUCGGUGUAGGAUGAGCUCGCGGCCUAUCAGCUUGUUGGUGGGGUAAUGGCCUACCAAGGCGGCGACGGGUAGCCGGCCUGAGAGGGUGGACGGCCACAUUGGGACUGAGAUACGGCCCAGACUCCUACGGGAGGCAGCAGUGGGGAAUAUUGCACAAUGGGCGCAAGCCUGAUGCAGCGACGCCGCGUGGGGGAUGACGGCCUUCGGGUUGUAAACUCCUUUCGCUAGGGACGAAGCUUUUUGUGACGGUACCUAGAUAAGAAGCACCGGCUAACUACGUG
This 464-nucleotide ribosomal RNA is filed under the name uncultured bacterium. RNAcentral's name for it is "partial 16S ribosomal RNA". It matches the Rfam family "Bacterial small subunit ribosomal RNA", at positions 28 to 507 of the family's 1533-position model. The record is from RNAcentral.